CCGGAUGGACCGCCGAAUCCUGCCGCUGUCCGGAAACCUCCCACACACGAAAAGGCAGGAGCGGGGGACCCAGGUAGGCCGCCGAAUCCGGAUGACGGAACGGCUCGGGGUGAAGUCGCGUGCAGCGCGGCCGGGCAGCUCUCGCCCGAACCCGACAGCUCACCUCGCAGGCGAAGGAGAGGAAUG
Molecule: small RNA, 186 nt
Filed under: Streptomyces sp.
Lineage: Bacteria; Bacillati; Actinomycetota; Actinomycetes; Kitasatosporales; Streptomycetaceae
Also listed under: 1 other name
Description: c-di-AMP sequence
Rfam family: c-di-AMP riboswitch aptamer (ydaO/yuaA leader)
About the family: This family represents a conserved RNA structure found upstream of the ydaO and yuaA genes in Bacillus subtilis and related genes in other bacteria. The ydaO/yuaA element is thought to act as a genetic "off" switch for the ydaO and yuaA genes in its native state. It is believed that the element may be triggered during osmotic shock leading to activation of ydaO, a predicted amino acid transporter gene, and members of the yuaA-yubG operon which code for KtrA and KtrB K+ transporters.
Source: RNAcentral